Chloroflexi bacterium CSP1-4 is the source of this 97-nucleotide non-coding RNA. The record is from Rfam. Lineage: Bacteria; Bacillati; Chloroflexota.
UGCGCCUCGAAGAUCCCCGACGCCCAGGCGGCCUACGAGUCGGCGGCCACGCUGAUCCCGACCGUGCUGGCCGGGGUCAACUUCGUCCUCCACGCCG